CAGGACUCUAUUUCCUCCCUGUUUCCCCUCAUAGGAUUCUGUUUCCUCCCUAUUUCCCCUCAUAGGAUUCUAUUUCCUCUCUAUUUCCCCUUGUUGGGUUCUAUUUCCUGUCUAUUCCCAUUUUUUGGCCUAUUUCCACAUUCUACUCCCCCUUCCUCUUCCAUUUCCUCUUCUAUUCCCAUUGUAUUCCCACUUCCUCUUCCGUUUCCCCCCUCCACCCCCA
RNAcentral lists this long non-coding RNA (223 nucleotides) under Phasianus colchicus (ring-necked pheasant). RNAcentral's name for it is "lncRNA (ENSPCLG00000016708.1)". The record is from RNAcentral. Lineage: Eukaryota; Metazoa; Chordata; Aves; Galliformes; Phasianidae.